This 73-nucleotide transfer RNA is filed under the name Bigelowiella natans CCMP2755. RNAcentral's name for it is "tRNA-Ala for anticodon AGC". It matches the Rfam family "tRNA". From Rfam's summary of the family: Transfer RNA (tRNA) molecules are approximately 80 nucleotides in length. Their secondary structure includes four short double-helical elements and three loops (D, anti-codon, and T loops). Lineage: Eukaryota; Cercozoa; Chlorarachniophyceae. The record is from RNAcentral.
GGGGGCGUAGUUCAGUUGGUAGAACGCCUGCUUUGCAAGCAGGAGGUAGUGGGAUCGAAACCUGCCGCCUCCA